Molecule: ribosomal RNA, 518 nt
Filed under: uncultured bacterium
Lineage: Bacteria
Description: bacterial SSU rRNA
Rfam family: Bacterial small subunit ribosomal RNA
Source: RNAcentral
GAGUUUGAUCCUGGCUCAGGAUGAACGCUGGCGGCGUGCUUAACACAUGCAAGUCGAACGGGAAUUACUUUAUUGAAACUUCGGUGGAUUUAAUUUAAUUCUAGUGGCGGACGGGUGAGUAACGCGUGGGUAACCUGCCUUGUACAGGGGGAUAACAGUCAGAAAUGACUGCUAAUACCGCAUAAGCGCACAGCAUCGCAUGAUGCAGUGUGAAAAACUCCGGUGGUAUAAGAUGGACCCGCGUUGGAUUAGCUAGUUGGUGAGGUAACGGCCCACCAAGGCGACGAUCCAUAGCCGGCCUGAGAGGGUGAACGGCCACAUUGGGACUGAGACACGGCCCAGACUCCUACGGGAGGCAGCAGUGGGGAAUAUUGCACAAUGGGGGAAACCCUGAUGCAGCGACGCCGCGUGGAGGAAGAAGGUUUUCGGAUCGUAAACUCCUGUCCUUGGAGACGAGUAGAAGACGGUAUCCAAGGAGGAAGCCCCGGCUAACUACGUGCCAGCCGCCGCGGUAAUAC